This 448-nucleotide ribosomal RNA is filed under the name uncultured bacterium. RNAcentral describes it as "bacterial SSU rRNA". It matches the Rfam family "Bacterial small subunit ribosomal RNA", at positions 330 to 792 of the family's 1533-position model. The record is from RNAcentral.
CCCAGACUCCUACGGGGGGCAGCAGUGGGGAAUAUUGGGCAAUGGGCGCAAGCCUGACCCAGCAACGCCGCGUGAAGGAAGAAGGCUUUCGGGUUGUAAACUUCUUUUCUCAGGGACGAAGAAAGUGACGGUACCUGAGGAAUAAGCCACGGCUAACUACGUGCCAGCAGCCGCGGUAAUACGUAGGUGGCAAGCGUUAUCCGGAUUUACUGGGUGUAAAGGGCGUGUAGGCGGGAAAGCAAGUCAGAUGUGAAAACCACGGGCUCAACCUGUGGCCUGCAUUUGAAACUGUUUUUCUUGAGUACUGGAGAGGCAGACGGAAUUCCUAGUGUAGCGGUGAAAUGCGUAGAUAUUAGGAGGAACACCAGUGGCGAAGGCGGUCUGUUGGACAGCAACUGACGCUGAGGCGCGAAAGCGUGGGGAGCAAACAGGAUUAGAUACCCCAGUA